Molecule: long non-coding RNA, 1735 nt
Filed under: Equus caballus (horse)
Lineage: Eukaryota; Metazoa; Chordata; Mammalia; Perissodactyla; Equidae
Description: lncRNA (ENSECAG00000050575.1)
Source: RNAcentral
CCCCUGCCCUUAUCAACCAACUGCAUUUUGUUCUCACGCUCUCCAGGGACUGCAAUCCAUGCUCUCAGGGAGCUCAUAGUCCAGUGGAAAGAAGGAGACCAGUAAUUAUUAUACAGAAGGAUUUGGGCUGUAAAAUAUACAAAUACCUCGUGGCUAGGAGCUCAGAGGAGAUGCAUAUGUGAGCCAAGAUGACUUCCCAAAGGAGAGAUGCUUGAGCUGAAUUUGGAGUUUUGGUAAAUUUUGUUCUAACUAGUCACAAGCCUUUAGACAUGAUGUGAUUAUAGGGCAGUUCCUUGACUGUUUCACUCUUUGUUGUACUUUCAGGCCAGUGGGUAUGUUUUUCCCUGUGCCCAGAUUGUCCUUUCCCUCUUGGUUCUUCUACAGAACUGCACUUCCUUAAUCUCCAUGUCCUUGAACUUGGCUGUAAUAACCGUUCAAUAACCAUUUGUAUUUUUAUAAAGGGUGUGUGCUCUGUAAAUAGGCAAUGAAGCUAGUUUUACAAGAUAAGCACAAGUGUUAGUCUCAUUACAACCCCAUACUUCUAACUUUUAACAUCUCUGAUUCUAAAUCCCCUGGCCGCACAUCUCCUCUCCUUACCCCCGGGGAGAAAUUUUCUUUCAAAAUCGAAUAUGCACUUAUAUUUAUAGAAUAUAAAACAUACCCACCACGUUUUGCACAAAUGGGAAAAGAACUGCUUAGCUUUGGAGCGUGUAAGCAACAAAUUAUAACUCCUGGCAGAAGAAAUGGAUUCAGAAAGCUCAAAUUAGAAAUUAAAUGGGGAGGCCCUAGUUUCUUUGUGUGUAUGGUGGGUACCUCCAUAGGGUCCCCAGCCGGGAAUAGGUUCUCCUUAUCUAGACAAUUCUCACUGGGCUUGGAGUUUCACAUCUGUUACAAUAUUUUGGACCGACGGACAAUGGGUCACAGAGAUUCGGAGAACAGGUCGUUAGCCUACUCGUUCACUCUUACAAGCAGCUCUGCUUUCUGUGGCACUCAAAACAGCUGCUUGGGAUAGUGGUCUCCAACUUUGUUGAUCUUGUAUCCCAUGCUUAAAAAUCUUGAGUACACACUCCUAAUACGGAAAUAUUUAUUUAUAAAUUAUGCAAAUAUAUUAUUGCACUGUUACUAUGUAUGUUUUAAAAUAUGCAAAAAUUUUAAGGGAUGACAUAAAAAUUAAUGAAAGUUAUAAUAUUUCUUCCCACAUUUGAAUGGGCCAUUUUGCACAUACCUUGGUGUGUACACAACCCACUUUGUAAACCUCUGGCUUUGCAGACAGAAUCUACAUUUCUUCCAAAUCAGCUAGCUCUCACCCUCCCCACUUUCCUGGGUUAAGCAUGCUUUCCAGUGGAACACUGUAGCUGUUGAAGAAUGCAGGCCACCUCAAGGUAUUUACUUCUAAAGAAGUCCAAGAUAUAGUAAGUGGAGAAAGCAAGCAUGAAUAUGUAUGGUCUGAUUUCUUGUGUGUGAAAAUGUUUUAAGUUUGCAAAAAAUAUAUAAUCUAUUUAUAAAAAAUGUCUAAAUUGAUACAUUAAAAACUGUGAAGUUAUUUCUGAGCACUGGAAUUAAGGGUCUUGGGAGAGGAAGAGGAUUUUUAUUUUUAUCUUUCCAUACUGCUUGGGUUUUUAAUGAUUUUUUAUUUUUUAAAAAUAAUAAAUAAUUUUUAAAAUCACUAAAUACAUUGUGAUGUCAAAUAUGUUACAAAGCAUUGUCAAUGUUGAUUGUUGAAGUUGGAUGAUGG